Cyprinus carpio carpio is the source of this 398-nucleotide long non-coding RNA. NCBI's taxonomy places the organism in Eukaryota, Metazoa, Chordata, Actinopteri, Cypriniformes, Cyprinidae. The record is from Ensembl.
GAGGAAAAGAUCUGAUAGCUUCAUUCAACACAUCUAGAGUGAUGUAUUUCGUUGCCAUCAGGUUUUUGAGGCAAAGAGACAACUCCAGUAGGACUAUUCCCUCAAAGACAUCAUGCAAUAUGUCAGGAGCAUAACCACCAACGACAUGAAAAUAUUCCAAAUUUGCUGUGGAAGACAUCCAUUUUUUCCACAUGAUUUGGACAAUAUGUCAUUCUCUUCCACAGUCUCAACACCUCUUUCACAACUGACUCAUCUACAUGUCCAAAGUGUUUCUUAAGAACUGCCUUCACAUUAUUUUGCAAAAGUGGCUGGGACAACUGAACUAUUUGGGAUUGCUUGCAGAUAACUGUCCUUCUCCAUCAUGCACAAGGACUCACCUCUUUAACUCUUUAUCGCCC